CUAAACCAUGCACCGAAGCUGCGGCAGCGACACUUUAGUGUUGUUGGGUAGGGGAGCGUUCUGUAAGCCGUUGAAGGUGUCCUGUGAGGGGUGCUGGAGGUAUCAGAAGUGCGAAUGCUGACAUAAGUAACGAUAAAGCGGGUGAAAAGCCCGCUCGCCGGAAGACCAAGGGUUCCUGUCCAACGUUAAUCGGGGCAGGGUGAGUCGACCCCUAAGGCGAGGCCGAAAGGCGUAGUCGAUGGGAAACGGGUUAAUAUUCCCGUACUUGGUGUUACUGCGAAGGGGGGACGGAGAAGGCUAUGUUGGCCGGGCGACGGUUGUCCCGGUUUAAGCGUGUAGGCUGGUUUUCCAGGCAAAUCCGGAAAAUCAAGGCUGAGGCGUGAUGACGAGGCACCACGGUGCUGAAGCAACAAAUGCCCUGCUUCCAGGAAAAGCCUCUAAGCAUCAGGUAACAUCAAAUCGUACCCCAAACCGACACAGGUGGUCAGGUAGAGAAUACCAAGGCGCUUGAGAGAACUCGGGUGAAGGAACUAGGCAAAAUGGUGCCGUAACUUCGGGAGAAGGCACGCUGACACGUAGGUGAAGUGAUUUACUCAUGGAGCUGAAGUCAGUCGAAGAUACCAGCUGGCUGCAACUGUUUAUUAAAAACACAGCACUGUGCAAACACGAAAGUGGACGUAUACGGUGUGACGCCUGCCCGGUGCCGGAAGGUUAAUUGAUGGGGUCAGCACAAGCGAAGCUCCUGAUCGAAGCCCCGGUAAACGGCGGCCGUAACUAUAACGGUCCUAAGGUAGCGAAAUUCCUUGUCGGGUAAGUUCCGACCUGCACGAAUGGCGUAAUGAUGGCCAGGCUGUCUCCACCCGAGACUCAGUGAAAUUGAACUCGCUGUGAAGAUGCAGUGUACCCGCGGCAAGACGGAAAGACCCCGUGAACCUUUACUAUAGCUUGACACUGAACAUUGAGCCUUGAUGUGUAGGAUAGGUGGGAGGCUUUGAAGCGUGGACGCCAGUCUGCGUGGAGCCGACCUUGAAAUACCACCCUUUAAUGUUUGAUGUUCUAACGUGGACCCGUAAUCCGGGUUGCGGACAGUGUCUGGUGGGUAGUUUGACUGGGGCGGUCUCCUCCUAAAGAGUAACGGAGGAGCACGAAGGUUGGCUAAUCCUGGUCGGACAUCAGGAGGUUAGUGCAAUGGCAUAAGCCAGCUUGACUGCGAGCGUGACGGCGCGAGCAGGUGCGAAAGCAGGUCAUAGUGAUCCGGUGGUUCUGAAUGGAAGGGCCAUCGCUCAACGGAUAAAAGGUACUCCGGGGAUAACAGGCUGAUACCGCCCAAGAGUUCAUAUCGACGGCGGUGUUUGGCACCUCGAUGUCGGCUCAUCACAUCCUGGGGCUGAAGUAGGUCCCAAGGGUAUGGCUGUUCGCCAUUUAAAGUGGUACGCGAGCUGGGUUUAGAACGUCGUGAGACAGUUCGGUCC
RNAcentral lists this ribosomal RNA (1472 nucleotides) under Salmonella enterica. RNAcentral describes it as "partial 23S ribosomal RNA". It matches the Rfam family "Bacterial large subunit ribosomal RNA", at positions 1181 to 2637 of the family's 2925-position model. The record is from RNAcentral. Lineage: Bacteria; Pseudomonadati; Pseudomonadota; Gammaproteobacteria; Enterobacterales; Enterobacteriaceae.